UGUGUGCGUGCGCUGGAUGAUGUGUGUGUGUGUGUGUGCUGGAUGAUGUGUAGCACACACAUCAUCCAGCACACACACACAUACACACACACAUCAUCCAGCGCA
This is a non-coding RNA of Pelobates cultripes (western spadefoot toad), 105 nucleotides long. The record is from the annotation of a GenBank genome assembly. NCBI's taxonomy places the organism in Eukaryota, Metazoa, Chordata, Amphibia, Anura, Pelobatidae.